GAUGAACGCUAGCUACAGGCUUAACACAUGUAAGUCGAGGGGUAACGAGAGGAAAGCUUGCUUUCCUUGUCGACGACCGGCGCACGGGUGAGUAACGCGUAUCCAACCUGCCCCCAACUAGGGAAUAACCUUGCGAAAGUAAGACUAAUACCCUAUAAUUUCCUCAGAUGCCAUCUGUCGAUGAAUAAAGAUUUAUCGGUUGUGGUUGGGGAUGCGUCUGAUUAGCUUGUUGGCGGGGUAACGGCCCACCAAGGCAACGAUCAGUAGGGGUUCUGAGAGGAAGGUCCCCCACAUUGGAACUGAGACACGGUCCAAACUCCUACGGGAGGCAGCAGUGAGGAAUAUUGGUCAAUGGGCGGAAGCCUGAACCAGCCAAGUAGCGUGCAGGAUGACGGCCCUAUGGGUUGUAAACUGCUUUUAUACAGGAAUAAAGUUAGCCACGUGUGGUUAUUUGUAGGUACUGUAUGAAUAAGGACCGGCUAAUUCCGUGCCAGCCGCCGCCGUAA
RNAcentral lists this ribosomal RNA (506 nucleotides) under uncultured bacterium. RNAcentral describes it as "partial 16S ribosomal RNA". It matches the Rfam family "Bacterial small subunit ribosomal RNA", at positions 28 to 523 of the family's 1533-position model. The record is from RNAcentral.